This 253-nucleotide ribosomal RNA is filed under the name uncultured bacterium. RNAcentral describes it as "partial 16S ribosomal RNA". It matches the Rfam family "Bacterial small subunit ribosomal RNA", at positions 524 to 776 of the family's 1533-position model. The record is from RNAcentral.
UACGAAGGGGGCUAGCGUUGCUCGGAAUCACUGGGCGUAAAGCGCACGUAGGCGGAUCUUUAAGUCAGGGGUGAAAUCCCAAGGCUCAGCCUUGGAACUGCCUUUGAUACUGGGGAUCUCGAGUCCGGAAGAGGUUGGUGGAACUCCGAGUGUAGAGGUGAAAUUCGUAGAUAUUCGGAAGAACACCAGUGGCGAAGGCGGCCAACUGGUCCGGCACUGACGCUGAGGUGCGAAAGCGUGGGGAGCAAACAGG